CCCUUAGAUGUUCUGGGCUGCACGCGUGCUACACUGAUAUUGCCAAUAUGUCUUUCUUAUCCGAAAUGGAUUGGGUAAUCAAGUAAUGAAAUUUCAUGCUUGGAAUCGGUAAUUGCAAUUUUAUCGUGAACGAGGAAUUCCUAGUAAGCACUAGUCAUCAGCUAAUGUUGAUUAUGUCCCUGCCCUUUGUACACACCGCCCGUCGCUACUACUGAUUGGGUGUUCAAGUGAGAUGCUUAGACCCUUGUUGCAUGGUUCAUUAUUGUGCUCCGAAAGGAAAAAGUUUCAAGCUUGAGUGUCUAGAGGAAGUAAAAGUCGUAACA
This 323-nucleotide ribosomal RNA is filed under the name uncultured eukaryote. Its description in RNAcentral is "partial 18S ribosomal RNA". It matches the Rfam family "Eukaryotic small subunit ribosomal RNA", at positions 1470 to 1796 of the family's 1831-position model. The record is from RNAcentral.